RNAcentral lists this ribosomal RNA (547 nucleotides) under uncultured bacterium. RNAcentral describes it as "bacterial SSU rRNA". It matches the Rfam family "Bacterial small subunit ribosomal RNA", at positions 355 to 896 of the family's 1533-position model. The record is from RNAcentral.
UGGGGAAUAUUGCGCAAUGGGGGGAACCCUGACGCAGCCAUGCCGCGUGAAUGAAGAAGGCCUUAGGGUUGUAAAGUUCUUUCGGUAUUGAGGAAGGUUGAUGUGUUAAUAGCACAUCAAAUUGACGUUAAAUACAGAAGAAGCACCGGCUAACUCCGUGCCAGCAGCCGCGGUAAUACGGAGGGUGCGAGCGUUAAUCGGAAUAACUGGGCGUAAAGGGCACGCAGGCGGUUAUUUAAGUGAGGUGUGAAAGCCCUGGGCUUAACCUGGGAAUUGCAUUUCAGACUGGGUAACUAGAGUACUUUAGGGAGGGGUAGAAUUCCACGUGUAGCGGUGAAAUGCGUAGAGAUGUGGAGGAAUACCGAAGGCAAAGGCAGCCCCUUGGGAAUGUACUGACGCUCAUGUGCGAAAGCGUGGGGAGCAAACAGGAUUAGAUACCCUGGUAGUCCACGCUGUAAACGCUGUCGAUUUGGGGGUUGGGGUUUAACUUUGGCGCCCGUAGCUNACGUGAUAAAUCGACCGCCUGGGGAGUACGGCCGCAAGGNUA